This 492-nucleotide ribosomal RNA is filed under the name uncultured bacterium. RNAcentral describes it as "partial 16S ribosomal RNA". It matches the Rfam family "Bacterial small subunit ribosomal RNA", at positions 29 to 507 of the family's 1533-position model. The record is from RNAcentral.
AGUGAACGCUGGCGGUAGGCCUAACACAUGCAAGUCGAACGGCAGCACAGUAAGAGCUUGCUCCUACGGGUGGCGAGUGGCGGACGGGUGAGGAAUACAUCGGAAUCUACUUUUUCGUGGGGGAUAACGUAGGGAAACUUACGCUAAUACCGCAUACGACCUACGGGUGAAAGCAGGGGAUCUUCGGACCUUGCGCGAUUGAAUGAGCCGAUGUCGGAUUAGCUAGUUGGCGGGGUAAAGGCCCACCAAGGCGACGAUCCGUAGCUGGUCUGAGAGGAUGAUCAGCCACACUGGAACUGAGACACGGUCCAGACUCCUACGGGAGGCAGCAGUGGGGAAUAUUGGACAAUGGGCGCAAGCCUGAUCCAGCCAUACCGCGUGGGUGAAGAAGGCCUUCGGGUUGUAAAGCCCUUUUGUUGGGAAAGAAAAGCAGCAGGUUAAUACCCCGCUGUUCUGACGGUACCCAAAGAAUAAGCACCGGCUAACUCCGUG